AUUGAACGCUGGCGGCAGGCCUAACACAUGCAAGUCGAACGGUAACAGGAAGCAGCUUGCUGCUUCGCUGACGAGUGGCGGACGGGUGAGUAAUGCCUGGGAAACUGACUGAUGGAGGGGGAUAACUACUGGAAACGGUAGUUAAUACCGCAUAACGUCGAAAGACCAAAGAGGGGGACCUUCGGGCCUCUUUCCAUCGGAUGUGGCCAGCUGAGAUUAGCAAGUAGGUGGGGUAACGGCUCACCUAGGCGAAGGUCCCUAGCUGGUCUGAGAGGAUGACCAGCCACACUGGAACUGAGACACGGUUCAGACUCCUACGGGAGGCAGCAGUGGGGAAUAUUGCACAAUGGGCGCAAACCUGAUGCAGCCAUGCCGCGUGUAUGAAGAAGGCCUUCGGGGUGUAAAGUACUUUCAGCGGGGAGGAAGGUGUUGAGGUUAAUAACCUCAGCAAGUGACGUUACCCGCAGAAGAAGCACCGGCUAACUCCGUGCCAGCCGCCGCCGUAA
Molecule: ribosomal RNA, 506 nt
Filed under: uncultured bacterium
Lineage: Bacteria
Description: partial 16S ribosomal RNA
Rfam family: Bacterial small subunit ribosomal RNA
Source: RNAcentral